AUGGGUUUUUCUUUCAAAAUUAACAAUAAUUUUUCUGCAGCUAAAUCUAAGCAAAAGAAACCGACCACAACAACAACAAGAGGCAAAAAAUCUCAGAUAACAACAGAGGUGAAAUCGAAGAAGAAAUCUAGUAGGAGAAAAAUGUGGUUUGUUUAUGUAUGUGAAGAAGAAGAGAAGGAAUUGGGAAGACAACAAGCAUCAGGUUCUUGUCCUUAUUGUGGUGGAAAAGUUGAAGCUAUGGAUGUUGAGAUGCAAUGGAGGUUUUGCUUUUUGCCUAUGUGUUUUAAGAUUAAGAGAAGUUAUUUUUGUACUUCUUGUACUAGACGUUUAGAAUUGAAGUAUUAA
Vicia faba (fava bean) is the source of this 345-nucleotide non-coding RNA. NCBI's taxonomy places the organism in Eukaryota, Viridiplantae, Streptophyta, Magnoliopsida, Fabales, Fabaceae. The record is from the annotation of a GenBank genome assembly.